RNAcentral lists this non-coding RNA (174 nucleotides) under Desulforhopalus sp. IMCC35007. RNAcentral describes it as "6S / SsrS RNA". It matches the Rfam family "6S / SsrS RNA". Rfam says of the family: E. coli 6S RNA was the first non coding RNA to be sequenced, but its function was unknown until recently. It consists of 184 nucleotides that fold into an extended hairpin structure with a large single-stranded internal bulge. The 6S RNA specifically associates with RNA polymerase holoenzyme containing the sigma70 specificity factor. Lineage: Bacteria; Pseudomonadati; Thermodesulfobacteriota; Desulfobulbia; Desulfobulbales; Desulfocapsaceae. The record is from Rfam by way of RNAcentral.
AUUUCCCUGCACUGUUGGUGAUGAUCAGUGUGUGUUGAGCCAACUCUCAAAAAAAGGGUACCUUCUCUGUUUACUUAAGGAGGGUCAUUUUUUGACGUACCUGACGUGGAUAUGAGGCUGCCCACCUAUUUUAUAGGUUUAACUUUCCUGGUUACACGGCAGUGUGGGGAUUAU